This 460-nucleotide ribosomal RNA is filed under the name uncultured bacterium. RNAcentral describes it as "partial 16S ribosomal RNA". It matches the Rfam family "Bacterial small subunit ribosomal RNA", at positions 338 to 795 of the family's 1533-position model. The record is from RNAcentral.
CCUACGGGAGGCAGCAGUGAGGAAUAUUGGUCAAUGGGAGCGAGCCUGAACCAGCCAAGUAGCGUGAAGGAUGACUGCCCUACGGGUUGUAAACUUCUUUUAUAAAGGAAUAAAGUGAGGCACGUGGGCCUCUUUGUAUGUACUUUAUGAAUAAGGAUCGGCUAACUACGUGCCAGCAGCAGCGGUAAUACGGAGGAUCCGAGCGUUAUCCGGAUUUAUUGGGUUUAAAAGGAGCGUAGAUGGGUUGUUAAGUCAGUUGUGAAAGUUUGCGGCUCAACCGUAAAAUUGCAAUUGAUACUGGCAGUCUUGAGUACAGUUGAGGUAGGCGGAAUUCGUGGUGUAGCGGUGAAAUGCUUAGAUAUCACGAAGAACUCCGAUUGCGAAGGCAGCUUACUAAACUGCCACUGACAUUGAUGCUCGAAAGUGUGGGUAUCAAACAGGAUUAGAUACCCCUGUAGUC